RNAcentral lists this ribosomal RNA (116 nucleotides) under Sphenodon punctatus (tuatara). Lineage: Eukaryota; Metazoa; Chordata; Lepidosauria; Sphenodontia; Sphenodontidae. The record is from RNAcentral.
AGCAGCAUUCACACCGGACUGAACGCACCUGAUCCUGUCCAAUCUCAGAAGCUAAUCAGUCCCAGGCCUGGCUAGUACUUGGAUGGGAGAUCGCCUGGGAAUCCUGGGUGCCGUAG